GCCGGUUUGGCUCAGUGGAUAGAGCAUUAGCCUGCAGACCAAAGGGUCCUGGGUUCGAUUCCGAUCAACGGCA
Molecule: transfer RNA, 73 nt
Filed under: Myotis lucifugus (little brown bat)
Lineage: Eukaryota; Metazoa; Chordata; Mammalia; Chiroptera; Vespertilionidae
Rfam family: tRNA
About the family: Transfer RNA (tRNA) molecules are approximately 80 nucleotides in length. Their secondary structure includes four short double-helical elements and three loops (D, anti-codon, and T loops).
Source: Rfam by way of RNAcentral